Molecule: long non-coding RNA, 310 nt
Organism: Pezoporus flaviventris
Lineage: Eukaryota; Metazoa; Chordata; Aves; Psittaciformes; Psittacidae
Exons: 3
Source: RefSeq, a predicted model, not a curated record
GCAGUGAUGGUGGUUAGGUGGUGCUUACAUGUAACAGUUUGCAGCUGUGGUUCCCAUGGGCAAACUCUUGAGCCUGAUAAGGAGCCCUGCUGACAGCAAGAAGUCUCCUAGAUGUUAUGCAUGAAUACAAUCUGGAGUAGAAACUCAAUUGUCCUAUAAAUCAGAAAUUCCCCUGCUGAGUAAUCAUUUCUUUUCCAUGGAUCCAAGAUUACCUCCGCUCAUUUCUUUGUAGGCAGGGUAAGCAUUUGUCUCUCUUCCUUCAGCUGAGCUGCUGUGUGUGUCCAUCACUGGCACAUCAGGCAUCAGGAGA